UUUUGGACAAUGGGCGCAAGCCUGAUCCAGCAAUGCCGCGUGAGUGAAGAAGGCCUUCGGGUUGUAAAGCUCUUUUGUCAGGGAAGAAACGGUAGGGGCUAAUAUCCCCUGCUAAUGACGGUACCUGAAGAAUAAGCACCGGCUAACUACGUGCCAGCAGCCGCGGUAAUACGUAGGGUGCAAGCGUUAAUCGGAAUUACUGGGCGUAAAGCGUGCGCAGGCGGUUUUGUAAGUCUGUCGUGAGAGCCCCGGGCUCAACCUGGGAAUUGCGAUGGAGACUGCAAGGCUUGAAUCUGGCAGAGGGGGGUAGAAUUCCACGUGUAGCAGUGAAAUGCGUAGAGAUGUGGAGGAAUACCGAUGGCGAAGGCAGCCCCCUGGGAUAACACUGACGCUCAUGCACGAAAGCGUGGGGAGCAAAC
Molecule: ribosomal RNA, 419 nt
Filed under: uncultured bacterium
Lineage: Bacteria
Description: bacterial SSU rRNA
Rfam family: Bacterial small subunit ribosomal RNA
Source: RNAcentral